AACCCUAAUUAAUAGAGCUACGGCGUAAAACGUGUUUAAGGUACCUAAUAAACUAAAGUCAAACUCUAGCUAUGCUGUAAAAAGCUACAGCUACUGUAAGACCCAUAACGAAAGUAACUUUACUACCUAUCUGAACACACGAUAGCUAAGACCCAAACUGGGAUUAGAUACCCCACUAUGCUCAGCCCUAAACCUAAAUAAUUAUAAUAACAAAAUUCUUUGCCAGAGUACUACUAGCUAAAGCUUAAAACUCAAAGGACUUGGCGGUGCUUUAUACCCCUCUAGAGGAGCCUGUUCUAUAAUCGAUAAACCCCGAUAAACCUCACCAAUCCUUGCCAAUA
This 341-nucleotide ribosomal RNA is filed under the name Macrophyllum macrophyllum. Its description in RNAcentral is "partial 12S ribosomal RNA". It matches the Rfam family "Bacterial small subunit ribosomal RNA", at positions 601 to 989 of the family's 1533-position model. Lineage: Eukaryota; Metazoa; Chordata; Mammalia; Chiroptera; Phyllostomidae. The record is from RNAcentral.